Haliotis rufescens (red abalone) is the source of this 576-nucleotide long non-coding RNA. RefSeq lists it as uncharacterized. Lineage: Eukaryota; Metazoa; Mollusca; Gastropoda; Lepetellida; Haliotidae. The record is from RefSeq and is a predicted model, not a curated record. The transcript has 2 exons.
UUCAAAGACUAAAACAUCCAACAUUGAAUGACUGGGGGAUCUUUACGUAAUACCCCCGCAGCACCCAUGACACUGUCCUGAGCAUGGCUCAUUUGAUCAGAGGUCUGAUAUUUGUUUUAGCAGCACCGGCUGUUGGUUACAUACUUAUGGUAGGGGUAUCACCUUCCGAGGACGAAGCACGAAGAAAACUCAAGCAGCAGAAUGAUCCAGCUUCAGAAAGAAUAAGACAGCAAAACCAAGCAUUGAUGAAACAAUUGCAAAAACAAGCAGGUAUUACAGAUGAACAGUUGAAAAAGAAGUAAUUCACUGGUUGAGGAAGAGCUAAAGUGUAGUUUUCUAGUGUGUGGAUGUGAGACAAAAUUGUACUUUAUGCUUGACUUUGUGGAAUAGGUCUCUUGUACAGUCAGAGUGAUCACCACCACCCAGCUAGCUCUCCAGGAUUCGGACAUGUUGCUACCAACGCUUGAUCACAUUGGCCCAGCAUACCUCACCCUUGUGAUGUCAGAUAAAGGCAUAUUAUGAUCUUGAAAAUACCUCAUUGUAUCAGAUAUUGACUUAUUAAAUCUUGUUGUUUAA